GAGGAUCUAAAGAUCUUCAGAAAUAAAAGCUCCUAAUUUCUUGCCGUGAAUCUGAAGAAGAACAGCUGUCAGACAUUUCUUGUGCAUCCUGUGCUCCUGGACAGACCACGUCACACUGCAGGUAGCGUUGCUGGCUCUUCAUUCUGGGCUUCCCACGGAAUAAUUCCUAUGGCACCAGCAACAUCAGUCCUUCAGCUACACCAAAUAAUCUCGUGAGAAGAACAGAAAGAGGUUUGGACCAAGGCAGCUCCCAAAUCACUUUCAAAACAGCAGAUUCCAGAGCCACAGGCGCUCCAGCGAUCUCAGUGCACCAGCCACCAGCAGCUCACUGGGCUGCACAGUGAAGGACACAUCCAAGGGUUACGUGACUUGGAGAUCUCUAUCCGUGAUGAAACAAAGAGGAGCAGCAAGUAACCUUUUGGCCGCAAGCACAUUUCUUCUUGAAAUGUUAUCAGAAGACUGCUAGAAAAGCACUCCAUCUACUUGACUGGCAAAAGCGAGCAACAUCGACACCUACUGUCGGAUAUUUUAAUUGCUGAUAGUACCAAACCAUUGACUUAAGAUUCUUGUCUACGAUUUCUUCCAGGAGAAGAUGCUCUCCUUAGUUAAAACUACAUGAUGAUA
Non-coding RNA from Anas platyrhynchos (mallard), 624 nucleotides. The record is from RefSeq and is a predicted model, not a curated record. NCBI's taxonomy places the organism in Eukaryota, Metazoa, Chordata, Aves, Anseriformes, Anatidae.